UGGCUGAUAUGCAUAAAACCAUUAUUUCAUGAAACUGCAUGAAAAAUUGACUUAUCGCACAAUACCAGAACUAAAAAAAAUAAACCACCAAAAGUCCACAUAAGAGAUGUGAAUUAACAGAAUAGAGAAUAACGGACAAAGAAAAAAAGGAAUAAAGAAUAGUGAAAGAAAGAGAAAAAUAGAAAAGUGUAAUAAUGAAAAAAAGUGUAAGUUAUUAAAAAUAUAGCUAAUAAAAGAAGACAGAUGAAUAAGUAAACAAGACCCCCCUCCCCCACACCAACCCCGAGACGAUCCUUACUUCAACUGUUAUUUGAUACUGCCGAGUUGUUUUGAGACAAACACACGUAUAAGUAGUCAGCCUGUACCACGCAGAAAGCUUCUUGCAUCAGUUUUAUGAUUACCGAUCAUUACUCAAGGUUAAUAUUUUUACGGCGGCUCAUUUUAUUUUGGCUUAAAAAUAAACACAAUUGACAAGUUUCUUUCCCCUGCAUUCUUGAUCGCACAAGUAAAUAGCACGUUGGUCUCAAAUAAGACAUUGAUACAAUGCAACACUUGCCGUCAGUAUUUGAAAAUAUUGAUUAAGAAGCUGUGUGUAAAAGUGAAUGUUUAAAUGGAGGCUCAUGUAGAGGACCUGACUACUGCGCAUGUCCACAAAACUUUACAGGUCCUUUGUGUGAACUAGGUUGUCAGCAAGAUGAAAAGAAUAAAUAUGCAGUUAAAAGUCAAAAUGUGGAUAAGCUUCAAAGUUCAAGGUCCUACUUUUGCAGAUUUUCAUAUUUUGCAUGAAUGAAUUUAAAGUUUAUAUCAUGGACAGCAGUGAAAGAAAAAAAAAAUCUUUUCAAUUUUCCUGCUACAAAGGAUAAAUGUAAAGACAUCUUGUUUUCGAAGGAUUGAAAUGCAUCACCUAGAAUAAAUGAAGAAAACAUAGAAACAAGACCAGAAUACAUUCAAAGACAAUGUUGGAUCAGUUAUUAUUUUCAUCAAGCAGUCAAUGAUUUAGAGUUCUUUAAAAUACCAAACUAUCUUGAAACCACAAUAAUGUCAAUGUUCUUUGCUGAAUGACCAAAAAGUGGACUAUACAAACACACAGUGCUUGAUGAUAAGAAACUAUUAAUGUUUUGUGUGGAGGGAUAUUGUGAAAAAAAUACAUUUACUUAAAUAGCUACUAGUAUGUUUAGCCAAUAAUAGAGUUUUUCACUGAUUUCAAAUGGUAAAUAAUUGUGUUUCGAAAAAGUAUUCUAUAAUUCAUAAAUAAACAUAUAUUGAUACUUACAAUAUCUGCUUUGUU
Mytilus trossulus (common blue mussel) is the source of this 1288-nucleotide long non-coding RNA. RefSeq lists it as uncharacterized. The transcript has 4 exons. The record is from RefSeq and is a predicted model, not a curated record. Lineage: Eukaryota; Metazoa; Mollusca; Bivalvia; Mytilida; Mytilidae.